GCGGAUAUCGUAUAAUGGAUAUUACCUCAGCCUUCCAAGCUGAUGACGUGGGUUCGAUUCCCACUAUCCGCU
This 72-nucleotide transfer RNA is filed under the name Buchnera aphidicola. Its description in RNAcentral is "tRNA-Gly". It matches the Rfam family "tRNA". From Rfam's summary of the family: Transfer RNA (tRNA) molecules are approximately 80 nucleotides in length. Their secondary structure includes four short double-helical elements and three loops (D, anti-codon, and T loops). Further hydrogen bonds mediate the characteristic L-shaped molecular structure. tRNAs have two regions of fundamental functional importance: the anti-codon, which is responsible for specific mRNA codon recognition, and the 3' end, to which the tRNAs corresponding amino acid is attached (by aminoacyl-tRNA synthetases). tRNAs cope with the degeneracy of the genetic code in two manners: having more than one tRNA (with a specific anti-codon) for a particular amino acid; and 'wobble' base-pairing, i.e. permitting non-standard base-pairing at the 3rd anti-codon position. Lineage: Bacteria; Pseudomonadati; Pseudomonadota; Gammaproteobacteria; Enterobacterales; Erwiniaceae. The record is from RNAcentral. RNAcentral also lists the same sequence under 3 other names.